GCCGCUGCCUGUGGAGAAAGAGAAAGCGAGUGAGCACCCAAGGAACGAACUGUGUGAACCAGUACUUACUGUGAGCUGCAAUCAGCGAAGAGGUGAGAGCAAAACCAAGCUGAACUAACUGUGCUUUUGUGUCCCAGCCGUUGCCUGUGGAGGAAGAGAAAGAGAGUGAGCACCUCGAGAACGAACUGUGUGAACCAGUACUUACCGUGAGCUGUAUUCAGCGAAGAGGAGGAAGAAGGAGGGCGCUACGGAUACCUAAGACUCAGGCCGGGGCCCGAGUCCCACGCCCCGGAUCCCCGUGGCCCCCUUGCUCCCUGACCUCUUCCCGGCCAUAGCCCAUCUGGAGGGCCGAGUCAGAGUUU
This is a long non-coding RNA of Cyprinus carpio carpio, 362 nucleotides long. The record is from Ensembl. NCBI's taxonomy places the organism in Eukaryota, Metazoa, Chordata, Actinopteri, Cypriniformes, Cyprinidae.